CCUACGGGUGGCUGCAGUGGGGAAUAUUGCACAAUGGGCGCAAGCCUGAUGCAGCCAUGCCGCGUGUGUGAAGAAGGCCUUCGGGUUGUAAAGCACUUUCAGCGGGGAGGAAGGCGGUGAGGUUAAUAACCUCAUCGAUUGACGUUACCCGCAGAAGAAGCACCGGCUAACUCCGUGCCAGCAGCCGCGGUAAUACGGAGGGUGCAAGCGUUAAUCGGAAUUACUGGGCGUAAAGCGCACGCAGGCGGUCUGUCAAGUCGGAUGUGAAAUCCCCGGGCUCAACCUGGGAACUGCAUUCGAAACUGGCAGGCUAGAGUCUUGUAGAGGGGGGUAGAAUUCCAGGUGUAGCGGUGAAAUGCGUAGAGAUCUGGAGGAAUACCGGUGGCGAAGGCGGCCCCCUGGACAAAGACUGACGCUCAGGUGCGAAAGCGUGGGGAGCAAACAGGAUUAAAUACCCUAGUAGUC
This 465-nucleotide ribosomal RNA is filed under the name uncultured Klebsiella sp. Its description in RNAcentral is "bacterial SSU rRNA". It matches the Rfam family "Bacterial small subunit ribosomal RNA", at positions 338 to 795 of the family's 1533-position model. The record is from RNAcentral. Lineage: Bacteria; Pseudomonadati; Pseudomonadota; Gammaproteobacteria; Enterobacterales; Enterobacteriaceae.